AACAGCUGCUGAGCAAGUGCUGAGUAGGGCAUCAGGAAGCAGUACAAUGCUAUUCUUACAGGCUCGGAAGCUGUGGGAGACAGCUGAGGAUCCUCACCUGCUAGCCUCCUUGACCUCCAUAACCUGGUUGGCAGAGAAGACAUAAUUCCAGAGUACUGUGCUCACGCAUUUAAUACCCUGGCUGAGCUCACACUCUGUGCCAGGCCCUGAAGGGGCUGGUGUAGAAACCCUAACAAAGCACGACCUCCGUGCUCAGGAGGGUCAAGGUCUAGCAGAGAAGACAGAGGACAGUCAUGUGGUGGGUAUGUGCCUAACGGGUCUGCAAAGUGCUGUGGGUCAUCAGGCAGCCCACUGAUUAGCAGGGCUUCAUCUGUGGAGGACUGCCUCUGUGCCCAGGACUCUUCAAAGUGCUGGACGUGAAUGAACUCAUGUACGCCUCACUCAAAACCCAUUGUACAGAUCCCCGAGGCACCUGGAACAUAUUGCCAGAGGACAGCGGGACAGGCCUGCUGAGCUUGUAGCCCAGUUUCUGGUUCAGUUUAGUCCUGGAUGCCAGCAUUUGAUGAAAUUGCAACAGAGAAGUUAAUUAACUGGCCCAAGAUCCCACAGCUCAGAAGUGGCAAAGCCAGCAUUUCAAUCCUGAGGCAUUUAUUCCAGAAGCUACUCUCUUCAUAUCACUACUGUGCUUCAGAUUUUUAACAUGUGUCUGAAUAUCUGUCGUCCAACUCCAACUUAAACAGGUAGCGUCAUACUUAGCCACUUCCCAAUGCCUUGCUUUUC
Molecule: long non-coding RNA, 780 nt
Organism: Molossus molossus (Pallas's mastiff bat)
Lineage: Eukaryota; Metazoa; Chordata; Mammalia; Chiroptera; Molossidae
Exons: 4
Source: RefSeq, a predicted model, not a curated record